RNAcentral lists this long non-coding RNA (955 nucleotides) under Sorghum bicolor (sorghum). RNAcentral describes it as "long non-coding RNA (SBIC_LNC011195)". The stretch from base 250 to 358 matches the Rfam family "MIR5565 microRNA precursor family". Lineage: Eukaryota; Viridiplantae; Streptophyta; Magnoliopsida; Poales; Poaceae. The record is from RNAcentral.
AGAUUGUCAUAUUAGUAAUAUUUUAUUUAGAUGACAUCUUAUUUAAUUUAAUAGAGAAGUAAUCUACAACCAUGGAUUUGAUGCCACCCUUAAUUCACGAAGUGUGUCUCCUACCUGCACUGCACUACUGAAAGUUUGGAUACACAGUUGUCCCGCCGCUCCGUCAGAGAGAACAACUCACAGCUCAAGCAGACAGCCAGGUAGAAUCGCACAUGCAUGUGCUGCCCCCCUCUUAAGGCUUUGUUUGAUAUUGUCAGAUUCACAUCAAUCCACAUGUGUUGAGGUGGAUUGAAGUGGAACUUGAACUAAAUUCUACCCCAAUCCACACCAACACACAUGGAUUGAAAUGAAUACGACAACAUCGGAACAAGGCCUAACCAAAUUCUGCUAGUCGCGCUACUAUUUCUAGUUAUGGUAUAGUAUACUCUCAGGUUUAAUUUCCACUGUACAGCGUGCAAUAAACGUGCAUGCAUGUAAAUACAAGCAGCAACCAGCCCACCACGGGAAAGUUGAACCACUGGGCUAGCCGGCCGGGCUGGGCCGUUUUCUUCUUCCAUUCCAGUUCCACCACAUCUCAAGCUCCGAGUAAUCUUAGGGAGUGUUUAGUUUUAAAAAAUACAAAAUACAAAAUGUCAACUACUUUAUAAUAAAGGAAAGUAAAAAUGUCAAAAUUUUUAGGGUCAUAUUUAAUUUCAUCCAAAGUGUAGAAUUUAUUGCUCUCAUGAGGGCCUCAUGAGAUUCUUUUAUGUUUUUUUGGCCUCUUGAAGCCAAAAUCCAAAAUAGAAAAUAAUCAUCUUUUGUCAAAAAAUUUACAUGGUAUGUAGGCCUUGUUUAGUUCCCUCUAAAAACAAAAAAAAAUUCAAAAUUCUAUCACAUCAAAUCUUAUUGCAUAUGCAUAGAUCAUUAAAUAUAGAUGAAAAUAAAAACUAAUUGUACAGUUUGCCCGUAAAUCGCG